RNAcentral lists this ribosomal RNA (1372 nucleotides) under uncultured bacterium. RNAcentral describes it as "bacterial SSU rRNA". It matches the Rfam family "Bacterial small subunit ribosomal RNA", at positions 28 to 1381 of the family's 1533-position model. The record is from RNAcentral.
GAUGAACGCUGGCGGCGUGCCUAAUACAUGCAAGUCGAGCGAACGGACGAGAAGCUUGCUUCUCUGAUGUUAGCGGCGGACGGGUGAGUAACACGUGGAUAACCUACCUAUAAGACUGGGAUAACUUCGGGAAACCGGAGCUAAUACCGGAUAAUAUUUUGAACCGCAUGGUUCAAAAGUGAAAGACGGUCUUGCUGUCACUUAUAGAUGGAUCCGCGCUGCAUUAGCUAGUUGGUAAGGUAACGGCUUACCAAGGCAACGAUGCAUAGCCGACCUGAGAGGGUGAUCGGCCACACUGGAACUGAGACACGGUCCAGACUCCUACGGGAGGCAGCAGUAGGGAAUCUUCCGCAAUGGGCGAAAGCCUGACGGAGCAACGCCGCGUGAGUGAUGAAGGUCUUCGGGUCGUAAAACUCUGUUAUUAGGGAAGAACAUAUGUGUAAGUAACUGUGCACAUCUUGACGGUACCUAAUCAGAAAGCCACGGCUAACUACGUGCCAGCAGCCGCGGUAAUACGUAGGUGGCAAGCGUUAUCCGGAAUUAUUGGGCGUAAAGCGCGCGUAGGCGGUUUUUUAAGUCUGAUGUGAAAGCCCACGGCUCAACCGUGGAGGGUCAUUGGAAACUGGAAAACUUGAGUGCAGAAGAGGAAAGUGGAAUUCCAUGUGUAGCGGUGAAAUGCGCAGAGAUAUGGAGGAACACCAGUGGCGAAGGCGACUUUCUGGUCUGUAACUGACGCUGAUGUGCGAAAGCGUGGGGAUCGAACAGGAUUAGAUACCCUGGUAGUCCACGCCGUAAACGAUGAGUGCUAAGUGUUAGGGGGUUUCCGCCCCUUAGUGCUGCAGCUAACGCAUUAAGCACUCCGCCUGGGGAGUACGACCGCAAGGUUGAAACUCAAAGGAAUUGACGGGGACCCGCACAAGCGGUGGAGCAUGUGGUUUAAUUCGAAGCAACGCGAAGAACCUUACCAAAUCUUGACAUCCUUUGACAACUCUAGAGAUAGAGCCUUCCCCUUCGGGGGACAAAGUGACAGGUGGUGCAUGGUUGUCGUCAGCUCGUGUCGUGAGAUGUUGGGUUAGGUCCCGCAACGAGCGCAACCCUUAAGCUUAGUUGCCAUCAUUAAGUUGGGCACUCUAAGUUGACUGCCGGUGACAAACCGGAGGAAGGUGGGGAUGACGUCAAAUCAUCAUGCCCCUUAUGAUUUGGGCUACACACGUGCUACAAUGGACAAUACAAAGGGCAGCGAAACCGCGAGGUCAAGCAAAUCCCAUAAAGUUGUUCUCAGUUCGGAUUGUAGUCUGCAACUCGACUACAUGAAGCUGGAAUCGCUAGUAAUCGUAGAUCAGCAUGCUACGGUGAAUACGUUCCCGGGUCU